Molecule: ribosomal RNA, 253 nt
Filed under: uncultured bacterium
Lineage: Bacteria
Description: partial 16S ribosomal RNA
Rfam family: Bacterial small subunit ribosomal RNA
Source: RNAcentral
GACAGAGGGUGCGAGCGUUAUUCGGAAUUAUUAGGCGUAAAGGGCGUGUAGGCGGUUAAGUAAGUCAAAUGUGAAAUGGUUGUGCCCAACAUGACUACUGCAUUUGAUACUGCUUAACUUGAGUGUAGGAGAGGUAAUUGGAAUUCCUAGUGGAGAGGUCAAAUUCAUUGAUAUUAGGAGGAACACCAGAUGCGAAGGCGAAUUACUGGAAUACUACUGACGCUGAGGCGCGAAAGCGUGGGGAGCAAACAGG